RNAcentral lists this ribosomal RNA (372 nucleotides) under uncultured bacterium. Its description in RNAcentral is "bacterial SSU rRNA". It matches the Rfam family "Bacterial small subunit ribosomal RNA", at positions 958 to 1332 of the family's 1533-position model. The record is from RNAcentral.
AACGCGAAGAACCUUUCCAAGGCUUGACAUAUAGAGGAAAAGUGCAGAAAUGCACUCCCCGCAAGGUCUCUAUACAGGUGGUGCAUGGUUGUCGUCAGCUCGUGUCGUGAGAUGUUGGGUUAAAUCCCGCAACGAGCGCAACCCUCUUCUUAUGUUUCCAGCACGUUAAGGUGGGGACUCAUGGGAGACUGCCGGGGUCAACUCGGAGGAAGGUGGGGAUGACGUCAAAUCAUCAUGCCCCUUAUGUCUUGGGCUUCCCCCAUGCUACAAUGGCCAGUACAAAGGGGUGCAAUACCGUAAGGUGGAGCGAAUCCCAAAAAGCUGGUCUCAGUUCGGAUUGAGGUCUGCAACUCGACCUCAUGAAGUCGGAAU